Agrilus planipennis (emerald ash borer) is the source of this 467-nucleotide long non-coding RNA. RefSeq lists it as uncharacterized. The record is from RefSeq and is a predicted model, not a curated record. The transcript is spliced from 3 exons. NCBI's taxonomy places the organism in Eukaryota, Metazoa, Arthropoda, Insecta, Coleoptera, Buprestidae.
AAAUGGUAAAAUAAUAAUGGAACAAUGAAUUAUAAAAAAUGUAUAAAUACAUGUUUACUUCUAACAAUACAAAUGAAUGGUAUAAUACAAACAAAGCAUAUACAUAAACAAGACGAACUGUUCACAUGCUCAUAAUACAGCGAAAGUAUUUAAAUAACAAUUACGUUUAUGCAAAGUAUGAGUGCUACUUAUAUCUAUUAAAAUGAAUCGUCAUAAUUUAGAAAUAUUUUUUCAUAUGAAAAAUCAUUAUAAAAAGUUAAAAGCUGUGAAAUGUGUUGUAGAUACUGGAAGAUCUCGAUUAGAGCAACACCGUUCCAAGAAUGCAGUUUUGAGAGGCUUUCAAAAAAAGAAGCGUGCAAUUAAGGGUAGUAGAUGUAACAGAGCAAGAACCCUCAGUGACCCCCGGCCACAGACAAGACGAAAUUUGUCAGAUGUGCCUACUUCUCAGCAAAACAGAAGCCUAUCAA